Lathyrus oleraceus (garden pea) is the source of this 1122-nucleotide long non-coding RNA. RefSeq lists it as uncharacterized. NCBI's taxonomy places the organism in Eukaryota, Viridiplantae, Streptophyta, Magnoliopsida, Fabales, Fabaceae. The transcript is spliced from 2 exons. The record is from RefSeq and is a predicted model, not a curated record.
GUUUCAAAUGCACGAAACGUUCAAUUACGAAACCAAAGCUCUCACUCACAAGAACUACGGAUCCAAACUCGCUUCGAUUUCGCGCAAACAAACAUGAACAACAUGGCCAACAUGAAUUCAGCCUUCAACCUCACUUCAAUUUCACACAAACAACCACAAGAACUCAAGAAUUCGCUUCCACCACUCCAUAGAAGAACCAAGAACAACAAUUAUAUCCGCGUGGAAAUUCAACAUCAAAUCAAAUUCAAAACCAAAAUUGAAAUCACUUAUAUAAUUGAAUCCAUCAUUUUCGUUCUUGUACCUGGAUAAAGAAAUUAAAGGGAGACAAAUAGCCUACCGGAAUCACGCUUCAACACGGUGGCUCAGGUAAUUGAGGUUGAAAGAUCGAAGAGCGUGGAUUAUUGUAAGAGUCUGAGAGUGAAGAAUGAAGAGUGUCCAAAUUGUGAAGAGUGAAGAAAAUGGUUUUUUGUGAUGAAUGAGAAGGAAAGUGAAAGGGUCCCAUGAGAAUUGAAGUGAAUGGUUUUUUUAUAUGCCUUUCUUUCUCUAUGCAAUGCUUUUGUUUAUGUUCGGAGCUUCCCCUUUUAGCUUUUUUAUGUUUUGAUUCUGUUAUCUUUGGUUACAAGUUGUGGAGAAAUUGUUAGAGGUUAGUGAGAGUUAGUUAGGGGAAAAUGAAGUUAGUUGGAGAAUUCAAUUAGGUUAGUUAAAGGUGAGUUGGAGUCAGUUAGUGGUUGGAUUUGAAUUCAGUUAGAGUUAGGUCCCUUGGAGGAGUGAAGUUAACUAGUUUUUAAGGUUAAGAGAUAAAUGCAGGGUACAUGAAUUGGCUUUUAUUUUUUCCUGCGUUUGGAUAAUGAUGUAGGGUUCUUAUUGGUUUUCUUGUGGAAUUGUUUAUGCAGGUUGGAGAAAAUGGUUUUUAUUAUGGAAAUUUGAGUUUUAUUUGCCAUGAGAAUAUGUUUUUGUUGAAUCUGGCAGGCGCUUGGAAUGUAUUUGCUAGCUUGGAAUGGAUUGGAGCUUGCUAGGGACUUGUUGCAAUGGAUUGAUGUGUAUCAAAGGCCAUGUUAAUUUUGGGUUGUGAUCUUGGAUUGUGUUAUAAUCUUUAUAAUUGAUCACGACUUUAUGAGUUUA